This 495-nucleotide ribosomal RNA is filed under the name uncultured bacterium. RNAcentral describes it as "partial 16S ribosomal RNA". It matches the Rfam family "Bacterial small subunit ribosomal RNA", at positions 28 to 507 of the family's 1533-position model. The record is from RNAcentral.
GACGAACGCUGGCGGCGUGCCUAAUACAUGCAAGUAGAACGCUGAAGGAGGAGCUUGCUUCUCUGGAUGAGUUGCGAACGGGUGAGUAACGCGUAGGUAACCUGCCUGGUAGCGGGGGAUGACUAUUGGAAACGAUAGCUAAUACCGCAUAAUAGUAGAUGUUGCAUGACAUUUGCUUAAAAGGUGCAAUUGCAUCACUACCAGAUGGACCUGCGUUGUAUUAGCUAGUUGGUGGGGUAACGGCUCACCAAGGCGACGAUACAUAGCCGACCUGAGAGGGUGAUCGGCCACACUGGGACUGAGACACGGCCCAGACUCCUACGGGAGGCAGCAGUAGGGAAUCUUCGGCAAUGGACGGAAGUCUGACCGAGCAACGCCGCGUGAGUGAAGAAGGGUUUCGGAUCGUAAAGCUCUGUUGUAAGAGAAGAACGAGUGUGAGAGUGGAAAGUUCACACUUUGACGGUAUCUUACCAGAAAGGGACGGCUAACUACGUG